RNAcentral lists this small RNA (83 nucleotides) under Marmota monax (woodchuck). The record is from RNAcentral. Lineage: Eukaryota; Metazoa; Chordata; Mammalia; Rodentia; Sciuridae.
GCCGGGCACAGUGGUGCUCGCCUGUAAUCCCAGUGGCUCAGGAGGCUGAGGCAGGAGGAUCUCGAAUUCAAAGCCAGCCUCAU